The sequence is a regulatory RNA element, 132 nucleotides long. It matches the Rfam family "ylbH leader". Rfam says of the family: This family is a putative regulatory RNA structure that is found upstream of the ylbH gene in B. subtilis and related low GC Gram-positive bacteria. The record is from Rfam.
UUAAAAAAAACCCCGCAGGCAUCCUGCGGGGUCCUUCUGAACCAAAAAAAGCACGCUUUUUUUGGGCAGAAGGCAAAGGGAGAGGAGAAACCGGAGGAAGAACUUAUGGGGAAACGUAAGUCUUCUCCGCGG